Molecule: ribosomal RNA, 433 nt
Filed under: uncultured bacterium
Lineage: Bacteria
Description: partial 16S ribosomal RNA
Rfam family: Bacterial small subunit ribosomal RNA
Source: RNAcentral
AGCGAACGCUGGCGGCAGGCCUAACACAUGCAAGUCGAACGAACUCUUCGGAGUUAGUGGCGGACGGGUGAGUAACACGUGGGAACGUGCCUUUUGGUUCGGAAUAACUCAGGGAAACUUGUGCUAAUACCGAAUGUGCCCUUCGGGGGAAAGAUUUAUCGCCAUUAGAGCGGCCCGCGUCUGAUUAGCUAGUUGGUGAGGUAACGGCUCACCAAGGCGACGAUCAGUAGCUGGUCUGAGAGGAUGACCAGCCACACUGGGACUGAGACACGGCCCAGACUCCUACGGGAGGCAGCAGUGGGGAAUCUUGCGCAAUGGGCGAAAGCCUGACGCAGCCAUGCCGCCUGAAUGAUGAAGGUCUUAGGAUUGUAAAAUUCUUUCACCGGGGACGAUAAUGACGGUACCCGGAGAAGAAGCCCCGGCUAACUUCGUG